Molecule: long non-coding RNA, 4322 nt
Filed under: Strigops habroptila (Kakapo)
Lineage: Eukaryota; Metazoa; Chordata; Aves; Psittaciformes; Psittacidae
Description: lncRNA (ENSSHBG00005001750.1)
Source: RNAcentral
GAUGCAGUAAAAUUCUAACACUCCUUUUAUUUUAUCUCGCUGCUGCUAAGCUGUUACCCUUCCAAAUUAACACUGUAUAGAUGGUGUUGACAUGCAGGUAAUACAGUGUUCUGACAGUGAUGGAGAAGGUGACUGAACAUUCAACCUGCUCUAUCUGUAAGAUGGUUAGUUGUGGGAUAGUGCAGUGGUUUGUAACUGGCCUGUCUGGGUCUUCAUGCUUUGAAUGGUAGCACUGAAGAGUGAUUUUUGUUUCCGCAACUACAACCGACAGUGAUGGCAACUGGUCUUUCAUGGAAUGUAGGACACAAGUGCUGGUCCAGAAGGCCAAGGAGGAGUGGAUGGGAGGAAGAUAGUGUCGUAUGAAAGUAUAUAAACAUCUGGAUCUUUAAGGGAAGUAGCUUUCACAUUGUUACCAUCAAUGUGUGCACUCAUUCUGUGUAUAGUUACGCUUCCAGAACCUGAUACUCACACCUGAGAGCCCAAGGAAGGUGUUUUAGAAAAGCUGCACCAGUAGUUGUGGCCUUUUCUUACCAUCAUCUUUGUUCCUCAAGUACAAGGGGGCAUGGAGGUCAUAAGGCACAGGCUGAAACAUUGUUUUGGGGGAAUCGAGAGGUGACUGUACAAGAGUCCAUGUGUACAGUAGGAGAUACUUUAUUCACCUUUUAGAUGUGCUCAUGUGUGUGUGCUGCGGUAAAAAUCAUGUGCCUGGAACUGUCCAACCUGGGCUGACACUUGAACCAUGAUUUUCUUUUCCUGCGUAGUGUACUGCUAGGUAAAACCUGACAUUUCCAGCUCUCCACAAUGUUCUCUAGAAGAACAGUGAAGGUGGUUUGAGACACUCUGGAGUGUGGACCAGCUGAUUCUGAUGAUGCUGCAUGUACAGAAUGGCAAAUACAAAAUACUGUAAGCUUUUGCUGCAAGUGAAGCUUUUUGCAAAUGUACCUUCAUCCCACUCCAUGAAUGGACAGCAAACUAUUCGUGAUACAAUUUUAGACUUACUAUGCUAGUGAGUCUUUCACAAACACUUCUGGUUUUAUAUCAAAGUAUUAUGAACACAAGGCAAGCAGUAGUGAAAGUCUGAGCAAUGAACAAUCAGUGGAGAAUUAGUGAGUGGUAGGACUGUGGUUAGGCAGUUAGGUAGAACAAAAUUAAACCUGAAUUUUUCUUCUCACCCCUUUUCCCUGGUGCUCGCAGCUUAACUGCCCUCUGUCCAUGUGAAGUGGGGCAGAGGAGGGGUGGUUGAUCGUGUUUCUAGAGGCAGCACAGGUGUGUAACACCACAAAGGUUAGUUCAGCAGCUAUAUGUGUGUGUUGUGUCACUUGACAAGAGUGCUGGAAUUCCUGCUGUAGAAAUGGGUGUGUUUGCAGAGCUACUGGCAAGGGAAGCAGGAUCUGUGUCCUUGCUUGCUUGGCACAGGCCCUGCCUCUCGAAGUGUCUAUCAGGCAUAAUGAAAUUGCUCUCAGAGGGCUUUUUUAAAACUGUUGUGGCUCUUUGAAAAGGCGUUUUGUAACCUGAUUAGCUUGAAAAGCCUAAUUAGAUGGCUUAUUGUCUAGAAAUAGCAUCUUUCACUAAAUUCCAAAAGACAUUGCAGUGAAAAUUGUAGGUUUGUAGCCAUAGUUCUGAAUGUAAACUCUCUUUAGCCCCAAAGGUGACUUUCUUUACUUUCAGAUAUAAGGCUUGCUGGGGGUUUUUUUGUGUUUUAAUUUGGAGGUGGUUAAGAUGAGGGUACCUGGAGUGCUGUGUUAGGUGACUGUAGUCUACAGUGAUGGUCUGUGGUUGGUAGUGUUCUUGUCUGUGUCAGCAGGCUCACCUGGGAAUGCGGUUUCAGUGCAAGUGCUCUGGGAUGGUGCUGCAGGUGUGUGUCUGGAGGCCUUCUGAAGCAAAGGUAGAAUACAGAAUCAAUUUCUGCACAGUUCCCUUGAUGCCCUUGGUCACUGUAAGGGCACAGACCCACCUUCUAAAGGUGUGACACUGGCAGAGGGCCCAUGAGCACCGUUAACCUCCUCACAUUUUAAUAUGGGGCCUCCUGCCACUGCUUGUGAUCAAAUUCGCUUUUUUCAUGACUAGAAAUCUACCAGUCCCAGUCUUGAAACGUCAUCCUCCUUCUAUACCUAAAAAUCUGGAGGUCUCAAAAGCACAGAAACCCACGCUUCCAAAAAUAACCUGCUGGUGCUGUUGCCAACACAACAUCUCACCUGCAGGUAUCAGUUUUCCAUGGCAGGGAAAGAAAGAAAUAGCUGUAAGAAACACUGCUGUUGCCUUGACCUUGAGGAAGCCUUUUUGACUUCUCGAAUCUAGUUGACAGUGCUAGAAAUAGCUGUGAUCCACCAAAGGAAGAGUGUUGGUGUGGCAAAAGCUGGGGUACCUCUUCCUUUUGGUGGAGGAGGCUGCCUUCCACAGAGUGCACCUCCUGGUGGUUGGUUUGGGUUUUUUUCCUCGUCAUCACAAAACCACCUCUUGCAAAGUUUAUCGUGGAUGCAGUGAUGCUGGUGGGUAGGACUGGAUGACUGGGAUCUAGCAAGGUGUACAGCUCUCUGUUCCCCUCCUCCUGCUGCUGCAAGGGUUAACAGGUUCUGUUUCCUACAUGGUGGGAUGUGUGUGAGGGGACCAUACAUGAUCAUAGAAUAGGGUUGGAAGGGACCUUCAAAGCUCAUCUAAUCCAACCCCCCUGCAGUGAGCAUGGACAUCUUCAAGUAGAUGUACACAUUGUUCCUUCACUCCUGCUAGCCAUUAGUAUUCACUGUUGUUGACCUUUAAUAAGCUUAUUUAUUGUUUACCUAGUGCGUCUAAUCAAGUCCUUUUGCUGAGUUUCAACUCGGGAUUGCCCUGCCUUGUUUCUGGCUGCUGGAGCGUAACUCCUCUGGGCAGGAACAAUAUUCCUGCCCUCAGGUGCUGUCCAGCCAGUUGAGUUGAGCACCUGUGUGUCUGCAUUGCUGCCAAAGGCUGGGAAAAACCCUAAUGAAGCUCAAGAGAUUCUGUAACAAAAUUUAAGCUUUUCCCCCAGAACCUGACACUUGAAUCCAUGGGAACAUAAUCAACCUUGCUCUGAAAGAAUCCACAGUAAGUGCAUUGUGUUAAAAAUAAUGGAGAGGAGUGAAUGUCUCAAGUACAGAAACUGACUCUGGGUGGGCAUGGAGGGAAGAAAUGCGACAAGCCAGAGGGAUCACUUGAGUCCCAUCACUCUGUAGAGGAAUUGUGUCCCAAGUUGGAUGGCGACUUCUGUUAAAAUCCAACUUUAUUAUUUAGUUGAGAUUGUAGUACCCUUUUUUUCUUCUUUUUUUUUUUUUUUUUUUUUUUUACUUUUAUCAGUUUUGUUUUUUGACAGAAAAAGGUAAUUUUGAAGCGUGUGUCGAGUGCAUGAGUGGUAUGGAACCGGAACAUUUCAUCUAGCACUUGUGUCCCUGUUUAAAACCCAGCUCUGAAGGCUCGAAACAGCUUUAGUGAGAGUCUAUUCUUAAUUACGGGGCUCCCAACCUUCAGGGCAGCUCCCAGGUACAUUUACGGCAGUCUCCCUGCUCAGGGGCCAGACCAGCCUCGCUUCCCCGGCUUGGGUGGACAGAGGGGAUCCGAAUCACACCCGAUCAGGAGAGAGUUGAGCUGGCACCGCUGCUCCUCCUGCGCUGGUGGGAUCCGGCGUCCACCCAUCGAGUGCCACCGGUGUGGGGCAGGGAGUGGGAAUAAUGUGUUGCCACUCGCUGGCCAGGGGCAGAUGGCUGUUUUCUCCUUCCACAACACUCCAGUUUCAUUCCAUAGCUGACUGAAAGCAAAAGAUUCCUUCCUGGCAUCUCCCAAAUCCCACCUUGCUGCCUCCCUGUAUUUAGUGAGUUGGAGUGCAGGUGUAGCUCUUGCCUUGGGGAAUACUGAGCUAGGGCAAAGGGAUGCUCGUGCUGAGUGGAGGUGAUCAGGAGCUGGCAAUAACACUUGUGUUGGGCUCGGCAGCAUCUUGGAGAGCUGGGAGCCAGGAUUUUUGGGAAACCAAACCAGACACAGCGGGGAUUCCUGUAGUACAGCAGAAGCUGUUUGAACUUAGUCUUUCUUAAUUAUAAUUAUUAUUUUCAGAUGUGACAUUAACAAGACCUUUUCUGUACCUUGUUUCCCCUCGCUGUGUAUAAAUCCCAGCCGCUCCUCUUUUCGGGUUGUUUUGGGUUUGGUUUUUGUUGGGGUUUUGUGUGUUUUCUUUUUUUUUUUUUUUCUUUUUUUUAUAUGUCUAUGCUGUGUAAUUUUGAGACGUUACCGAGAUUCUGAAUAUAAUAAUGUGCGUUCCUUUUGUUUGUUUUCUGUACAGAUGAAACGGGAGAAUUUAAUAAAAAGAGUCUGCAGGU